Molecule: ribosomal RNA, 483 nt
Filed under: uncultured bacterium
Lineage: Bacteria
Description: partial 16S ribosomal RNA
Rfam family: Bacterial small subunit ribosomal RNA
Source: RNAcentral
AUUGAACGCUGGCGGCAUGCUUUACACAUGCAAGUCGAACGGCAGCGCGGGCUUCGGCCUGGCGGCGAGUGGCGAACGGGUGAGUAAUGCAUCGGAACGUGCCCAGUAGUGGGGGAUAGCCCGGCGAAAGCCGGAUUAAUACCGCAUACGACCUGAGGGUGAAAGCGGGGGACCGAAAGGCCUCGCGCUAUUGGAGCGGCCGAUGUCGGAUUAGCUAGUUGGUGGGGUAAAGGCUCACCAAGGCGACGAUCCGUAGCUGGUCUGAGAGGACGACCAGCCACACUGGGACUGAGACACGGCCCAGACUCCUACGGGAGGCAGCAGUGGGGAAUUUUGGAAAAUGGGGGCAACCCUGAUCCAGCCAUGCCGCGUGCGGGAAGAAGGCCUUCGGGUUGUAAACCGCUUUUGUUCGGGAAGAAAUCCUCUGGGCUAAUACCCCGGGGGGAGGACGGUACCGGAAGAAUAAGCACCGGCUAACUACGU